This is a long non-coding RNA of Orussus abietinus, 541 nucleotides long. RefSeq lists it as uncharacterized. NCBI's taxonomy places the organism in Eukaryota, Metazoa, Arthropoda, Insecta, Hymenoptera, Orussidae. The record is from RefSeq and is a predicted model, not a curated record. The transcript has 3 exons.
GAGAUGCUGAGGAUGGGAAACGACAAUGUCCAGGAGGCGGAUUAAAGAUAUGCCACCAGCUGCGACAUCGAUCCGAGGGACCACUUCGACCGGUACACGACACCUGGACAAUUUCAAGAGGAUAUCGAGAAACCACCCGGGAAUUUAACGUCGUGGGCGCGGAUGCCGAUGUCGCGCGUCGCGUCCUUCCCUCGCUAAGAAUAAGGCUGAGUUGGCGACUAAGCGACUUCGAUUCCAGUGACGUCACAAGCGGCCAUUAAUCAUGCAUCUUGCGUGGAAGCUCCUUCGCACCUACGCAAAGCUCCGUGCAGUCGCUCGAAGUACACACUAGCUAUAAAUAAUUAUUGAUUCCCAUCAGCUGUCGGGGCGCGUAUCGCCGGCCGAGACCGACUGCAUACGUGCUGCAUUAAUUUCCCAUUCGCAGUUAAUGCACUCGUUAAGAAGCGGGCCUUUAACUAGUCGGACGACCCGUUCGCGGGACUCGUCGGUUUCCACGAGAGAUCUCCGACGGAUCUCUUCUUGGCAGCGAUUUAGAAUUAAA